RNAcentral lists this ribosomal RNA (632 nucleotides) under Streptomyces sp. SB2B8. Its description in RNAcentral is "bacterial SSU rRNA". It matches the Rfam family "Bacterial small subunit ribosomal RNA", at positions 47 to 684 of the family's 1533-position model. Lineage: Bacteria; Bacillati; Actinomycetota; Actinomycetes; Kitasatosporales; Streptomycetaceae. The record is from RNAcentral.
CCUCGGGGACCCUAGUUCCAUAUGAAGCCGUCUAUGCUCCCUUGAUGACUGCUGCCUUGGGGAUCGGGGGGGUUGACUGUGCUGUAUCUGCCCUGUCCUCUGGGACACUGCCUGGAAACGGGGUCUAAUACGGGAUACUGAUCGCCUUGGGCAUCCUUGGUGAUCGAAAGCUCCGGCGGUGCAGGAUGAGGCCGCGGCCUAUCAGAUUGGUGGUGAGGUAAUGGCUCACCAAGGCGACGACGGGUAGCCGGCCUGAGAGGGCGACCGGCCACACUGGGACUGAGACACGGCCCAGACUCCUACGGGAGGGAGCAGGGGGGAAUAUUGCACAAUGGGCGAAAGCCUGAUGCAGCGACGCCGCGUGAGGGAUGACGGCCUUCGGGUUGUAAACCUCUUUCAGCAGGGAAGAAGCGAAAGUGACGGUACCUGCAAAAGAAGCGCCGGCUAACUACGUGCCAGCAGCCGCGGUAAUACGUAGGGCGCGAGCGUUGUCCGGAAUUAUUGGGCGUAAAGAGCUCGUAGGCGGCUUGUCGCGUCGGUUGUGAAAGCCCGGGGCUUAACCCCGGGUCUGCCGUCGAUACCCGCAGGCUAGAGUUCGGUAGGGUAGAUCGGAAUUCCUGGCGUGCCGGCGA